Molecule: ribosomal RNA, 367 nt
Filed under: uncultured bacterium
Lineage: Bacteria
Description: bacterial SSU rRNA
Rfam family: Bacterial small subunit ribosomal RNA
Source: RNAcentral
GACGAACGUUGGCGGCGUGCUUAAUACAUGCAAGUCAACUGAAGCACCGGUAGUAAUACUGGUGUGGAGGUGGCGCACGGGUGAGUAACACGUAGGUAAUCUGCCUUCAGGUCUGACAUAACCCCGAGAAAUCGGGGCUAAUAGCAGAUGAUGCAGCGGCUUGACAUCAAGACAGUUGUUAAAGCUUCGGCGCCUGAAGAUGAGCCUGCGUCUGAUUAGCUAGUUGGCGGAGUAAUGGCCCACCAAGGCUACGAUCAGUAACUGGUCUGAGAGGAUGAUCAGUCACACUGGAACUGAGACACGGUCCAGACUCCUACGGGAGGCAGCAGUAAGGAAUAUUGCUCAAUGGAGAAAUCCUGAAGCGAGC